GGCAACGCCGUGACCGAAGGUGCGGGAAGACGUAGGAUCCACUCGUUAUCCGGAAACAUUGGGGUUACAGGGGCCGUAGGCGGUCUUAUAAGUCAGUGGUGAAAGCCCAUCGCUCAACGAUGGAACUGCCAUUGAUACUGUAAGACUUGAAUGCUUAGGAAGUAACUAGAAUAUGUAGUGUAGCGGUGAAAUGCUUAGAUAUUACAUGGAAUACCAAUUGCGAAGGCAGGUUACUACUAAGUGGUUGACGCUGAUGGACGAAAGCGUGGGGAGCGAACAGGAUUAGAUACCCCAGUAGUC
Molecule: ribosomal RNA, 300 nt
Filed under: uncultured Howardella sp.
Lineage: Bacteria; Bacillati; Bacillota; Clostridia; Eubacteriales
Description: bacterial SSU rRNA
Rfam family: Bacterial small subunit ribosomal RNA
Source: RNAcentral